CGAAGGACCCGAGCGUUAUCCGGAUUUAUUGGGUUUAAAGGGUGCGUAGGCGUCCUGGAAAGUUACGGUUGAAAUCUCCUUGCUCAACAAGGAAACUGGCCGUAAAACUAUCAGGAUUGAGUACAUUUGAAGCGGGCGGAAUGUGUCAUGUAGCGGUGAAAUGCUUAGAUAUGACACAGAACACCAAUUACGAAGGCAGCUCGCUAAACUGUAACUGACGCUGAGGCACGAAAGCGUGGGGAUCAAACAGGAUUAGAUACCCUGGUAGUCCACGCCCUAAACGAUGAUUACUCGAUGUGUGCGAUACACUGUACGCGUCUGAGCGAAAGCAUUAAGUAAUCCACCUGGGGAGUACGAUCGCAAGAUUG
Molecule: ribosomal RNA, 368 nt
Filed under: uncultured organism
Description: bacterial SSU rRNA
Rfam family: Bacterial small subunit ribosomal RNA
Source: RNAcentral